AAUGGGGGAAACCUGACCGAGCGACGCCGCGUGUGGGAUGAAGGCCCUUGGGUUGUAAACCACUGUCAGAGGGGAUGAAUGCUAGAGAGCUAUCUCUCUAGUUUGACAUAGCCUCAGAGGAAGCACGGGCUAAGUUCGUGCCAGCAGCCGCGGUAAGACGAACUGUGCAAACGUUAUUCGGAAUCACUGGGCUUGAAGAGUGCGUAGGCGGUUUCGUAAGUAGGGUGUGAAAGCCCUCGGCUCAACCGGGGAAUUGCGUCCUAAACUGCAAGGCUAGAGUGAGGUAGGGGUGUGUGGAGCUUCCAGUGGAGCGGUGAAAUGUGUUGAUAUUGGAAGGAACGCCGGUGGCGAAAGCGGCACACUGGACCUUGUCUGACGCUGAGGCACGAAAGCCAGGGGAGCAAACGGGAUU
This 412-nucleotide ribosomal RNA is filed under the name uncultured Gammaproteobacteria bacterium. Its description in RNAcentral is "bacterial SSU rRNA". It matches the Rfam family "Bacterial small subunit ribosomal RNA", at positions 370 to 779 of the family's 1533-position model. The record is from RNAcentral. Lineage: Bacteria; Pseudomonadati; Pseudomonadota; Gammaproteobacteria.